RNAcentral lists this ribosomal RNA (270 nucleotides) under uncultured archaeon. RNAcentral's name for it is "partial 16S ribosomal RNA". It matches the Rfam family "Archaeal small subunit ribosomal RNA", at positions 477 to 747 of the family's 1478-position model. The record is from RNAcentral.
CAGCUCUCCGAGUGGUGUGGAUGUUUAUUGGGCCUAAAGCAUCCGUAGCUGGCUGAGUUAGUCCCUUGUUAAAUCCACCGAAUUAAUCGUUGGAUUGCGGGGGAUACUGCUCGGCUAGGGGACGAGAGAGGCAGACGGUAUUUCUGGGGUAGGGGUGAAAUCCUAUAAUCCUUGGGGGACCACCAGUGGCGAAGGCGUCAGACUGGAACGCGCUCGACGGUGAGGGACGAAAGCCAGGGGAGCGAACCGGAUUAGAUACCCGUGUAGUCC